RNAcentral lists this ribosomal RNA (489 nucleotides) under uncultured bacterium. Its description in RNAcentral is "partial 16S ribosomal RNA". It matches the Rfam family "Bacterial small subunit ribosomal RNA", at positions 28 to 507 of the family's 1533-position model. The record is from RNAcentral.
GAUGAACGCUCGCGGCAGGCUUAAUACAUGCAAGUCGAGGGGCAGCAGGACUGUAGCACUCCAGUUGCUGGCGACCGGCAAACGGGUGCGGAACACGUACGCAACCUACCCAAAACUGGGGGAUAGCCCGGGGAAACCCGGAUUAAUACCUCGUAACCUUUUUAAGUGGCAUCACUUGAUAAGUAUAGCUCCGGCGGUUUUGGAUGGGCGUGCGCCUGAUUAGGUAGUUGGUGCGGGUAACGGCCCACCAAGCCUGCGAUCAGUAACUGGUGUGAGAGCACGACCAGUCAAACGGGCACGGAGACACGGGCCCGACUCCUACGGGAGGCAGCAGUAAGGAAUAUGGGUCAAGGGACGCAAGUCUGAACCAGCCAUGCCGCGUGAAGGAUGAAGGUCCUCUGGAUUGUAAACUUCUUUUAUGGGGGACGAAACCCGGAUAUUCUUAUCCGAUUGACGGUACCUCAGGAAUAAGCACCGGCUAACUCCGUG